GGCUUAAUUUGACUCAACGCGGGAAACCUUACUAGGGUAAGACAUUGGUAUGAUUGACAGAUUACUUGAUCUUUCUUGAUUUGGUGGGUGGUGGUGCAUGGCCGAUCUUAGUUGGUGGGGUGACCCGUCUGGUUAAUUUCGAUAACGAACGAGAUCCGAGCUGUUUAGUUGGCCGCGUUUAUUUUUUAAGCGUGUGUCUCCUAUAUGGACUGUCAGUAUGAGGCUGAAGGAAGUUUCGGGCUAAAUCAGGUCUGUGAUGCCC
RNAcentral lists this ribosomal RNA (262 nucleotides) under uncultured eukaryote. RNAcentral's name for it is "partial 18S ribosomal RNA". It matches the Rfam family "Eukaryotic small subunit ribosomal RNA", at positions 1187 to 1472 of the family's 1831-position model. The record is from RNAcentral.